RNAcentral lists this ribosomal RNA (253 nucleotides) under uncultured bacterium. RNAcentral's name for it is "partial 16S ribosomal RNA". It matches the Rfam family "Bacterial small subunit ribosomal RNA", at positions 524 to 776 of the family's 1533-position model. The record is from RNAcentral.
UACGGAGGGUGCGAGCGUUAAUCGGAAUUACUGGGCGUAAAGCGUGCGUAGGCGGUUUGAUAAGUCUGAUGUGAAAGCCCUGGGCUUAACCUGGGAACGGCAUUGGAUACUGUCAGACUCGAGUGUGGGAGAGGGUAGUGGAAUUUCCGGUGUAGCAGUGAAAUGCGUAGAGAUCGGAAGGAACACCAGUGGCGAAGGCGGCUACCUGGACCAACACUGACGCUGAGGUACGAAAGCGUGGGGAUCAAACAGG